Molecule: ribosomal RNA, 253 nt
Filed under: uncultured bacterium
Lineage: Bacteria
Description: partial 16S ribosomal RNA
Rfam family: Bacterial small subunit ribosomal RNA
Source: RNAcentral
UACGAAGGACCCAAGCGUUAUCCGGAUUUAUUGGGCUUAAAGGGUGCGUAGGCGGGUUAUUAAGUCAGUGGUGAAAGCCUACAGCUUAACUGUAGAAUUGCCAUUGAUACUGAUGAUCUUGAGUAUGAUUGAGGUGGGCGGAAUGUGUCAUGUAGCGGUGAAAUGCGUAGAUAUGACACAGAACACCGAUGGCGAAGGCAGCUCACUAAGCCAUAACUGACGCUGAUGCACGAAAGCGUGGGGAGCAAACAGG